Ipomoea nil (Japanese morning glory) is the source of this 1011-nucleotide long non-coding RNA. RefSeq lists it as uncharacterized. The record is from RefSeq and is a predicted model, not a curated record. The transcript has 2 exons. NCBI's taxonomy places the organism in Eukaryota, Viridiplantae, Streptophyta, Magnoliopsida, Solanales, Convolvulaceae.
UGCAACUGGAGUUAAACCCUCCAUUCCCCCAAUUCCAUUCUCACCAUCAAUGCUUGUGACCUCCAGCAAUGCCCUCGUCAGCUCUUCUCUGAGCUUUUUUAUCCAUUAGGCAAAACACACAUCAUUACGAAAAGGAACAGACAAGAACUAAAUUAAAUUAAUGAUGACGUCUGACAGCAUAAAGAUGAGAAUGGCCAACCAACUUUUAUCACGUUCAAGUGGGUUACACCAGUUGGAAGCAUUAUCCUCAUUAUAUUUAGACCAAUUCUUGACUUCAUGCAAAUCCGUACGUUCUCAGUGUUGCCCUGGUGUUUUUGCUCUAGAGAUAAAGCUGAUCAAGUUGGACUAAAAAUCUAGUGACUUAUUGCUAGGUUGCUAUACAACUGGCAAGGUUCGCUAGUGGAGAUUGAUUAUUGACAGCUCCUGAUUAAGCUCAUCCAUGAAGAUUGAAUACUCAAAAACUGUACUUAAAUUUCAAAUCCUAGAUUCAUACCCAAUAUCAAAUUAAGUAUUGGUUGACUUAGUGUUGUAAUUUAGGCAGGAUAAAAAAAAAAGUAACAUAAAGAAUAAGUUAUUAUUAUUAACACCCCACAUCCACAUCAAAAAGAGGAAAAAGAAAAGAAUUACUAAGCUACGUACUAUACCAUUUCUUGGAGCAGUAAAAAUGAUUUAAGAGCAUAGAGAAUUCCACAAGUUGAGGCCAAGAAUGAUUUGAAUUUGAAAAUUAAAGUUGAUUGUUGACUCUUUCAUCUCUAAUAGUCUCCAUAUGAUGGGUGUCCAUUAUUAUUAAAAUGCGAAAAGUCUACUUUCCAAGAGAAUCAAACUGGGGCUGUCGGCAGGCAUCUUAAAGCCCAAUUCGAUGCUAGCUUACCCCAAGUGAAAUAGAGCAAUUAAUAAUUAGCUUAAUGAGAAAAAAAUAUUGAAAUCGAAUUUUCUAGUCUAGCUUGGUAUGUUCUGUAAAAUGCAACUACGCUACAAAAAUUGCAACAUGUGAACGUAGAUUGUGAGCCU